AUUGAACGCUGGCGGCAUGCUUUACACAUGCAAGUCGAACGGUAACAGGGUGCUUGCACCGCUGACGAGUGGCGAACGGGUGAGUAAUGCGUCGGAACGUGCCGAGUAGUGGGGGAUAACGCAGCGAAAGUUGUGCUAAUACCGCAUACGUACUGAGGUAGAAAGUGGGGGACCUUCGGGCCUCACGCUAUUCGAGCGGCCGACGUCUGAUUAGCUAGUAGGUGAGGUAAAGGCUCACCUAGGCGACGAUCAGUAGCGGGUCUGAGAGGAUGAUCCGCCACACUGGGACUGAGACACGGCCCAGACUCCUACGGGAGGCAGCAGUGGGGAAUUUUGGACAAUGGGCGAAAGACUGAUCCAGCCAUGCCGCGUGUCUGAAGAAGGCCUUCGGGUUGUAAAGGACUUUUGUCAGGGAGGAAAUCCCUAGUGCUAAUAACACUGGGGGAUGACAGUACCUGAAGAAUAAGCACCGGCUAACUACGUGCCAGCCGCCGCGGAA
Molecule: ribosomal RNA, 499 nt
Filed under: uncultured bacterium
Lineage: Bacteria
Description: partial 16S ribosomal RNA
Rfam family: Bacterial small subunit ribosomal RNA
Source: RNAcentral